This 769-nucleotide ribosomal RNA is filed under the name uncultured Pseudoalteromonadaceae bacterium. RNAcentral describes it as "bacterial SSU rRNA". It matches the Rfam family "Bacterial small subunit ribosomal RNA", at positions 28 to 776 of the family's 1533-position model. The record is from RNAcentral. Lineage: Bacteria; Pseudomonadati; Pseudomonadota; Gammaproteobacteria; Alteromonadales; Pseudoalteromonadaceae.
AUUGAACGCUGGCGGCAGGCCUAACACAUGCAAGUCGAGCGGAAACGAGUUAUCUGAACCUUCGGGGAACGAUAACGGCGUCGAGCGGCGGACGGGUGAGUAAUGCCUAGGAAAUUGCCCUGAUGUGGGGGAUAACCAUUGGAAACGAUGGCUAAUACCGCAUGAUGCCUACGGGCCAAAGAGGGGGACCUUCGGGCCUCUCGCGUCAGGAUAUGCCUAGGUGGGAUUAGCUAGUUGGUGAGGUAAGGGCUCACCAAGGCAACGAUCCCUAGCUGGUCUGAGAGGAUGAUCAGCCACACUGGAACUGAGACACGGUCCAGACUCCUACGGGAGGCAGCAGUGGGGAAUAUUGCACAAUGGGCGCAAGCCUGAUGCAGCCAUGCCGCGUGUAUGAAGAAGGCCUUCGGGUUGUAAAGUACUUUCAGUCGUGAGGAAGGCGUUGUCGUUAAUAGCGGCAUCGUUUGACGUUAGCGACAGAAGAAGCACCGGCUAACUCCGUGCCAGCAGCCGCGGUAAUACGGAGGGUGCGAGCGUUAAUCGGAAUUACUGGGCGUAAAGCGCAUGCAGGUGGUUUGUUAAGUCAGAUGUGAAAGCCUGGGGCUCAACCUCGGAAUAGCAUUUGAAACUGGCAGACUAGAGUACUGUAGAGGGGGGUAGAAUUUCAGGUGUAGCGGUGAAAUGCGUAGAGAUCUGAAGGAAUACCGGUGGCGAAGGCGGCCCCCUGGACAGAUACUGACACUCAGAUGCGAAAGCGUGGGGAGCAAACAGG